Molecule: long non-coding RNA, 1931 nt
Organism: Spinacia oleracea (spinach)
Lineage: Eukaryota; Viridiplantae; Streptophyta; Magnoliopsida; Caryophyllales; Amaranthaceae
Exons: 5
Source: RefSeq, a predicted model, not a curated record
UAAUGCUACUAGCCUUCUGUUGUGCCAAUUUCAGUAACAAUGACACUAGUAGAAAAAUGGUCAAAUGCUCCCACACAAAGGAUGCUCUUAUAUUACAAGCGCAUCCUUUGGUUUGUUAAUUAAUAAUUUUUUUGAAAAACAAAUAUUCUGGGUUCUGUUGAAAAUGAAUAGCGCAUCCUUAACCUCGUUUGUUUCUCUCUCUCCUCCUUACACGGUCUUUCUCAUCUCCUUCUUCUCUCUCCCUUCCUUGCAUCUCCUCCUUCCUUCGAACUUCAAUGGUGGUACUUCUUGUUGUGACGGCGGAGCGGGUGGUGAACGUGGUGUUAUGGGGCUUUAAAAUCUUGCUCAGGGUUUUGGUUUGGGUUUUUUAUUUUGGGGAAACUUGAGGAAAGCGACUCCCCAACGAGCACAGAAGGUGCAAUAUAAGCAAUCAAGCAGACGGUUAGUCGUUAGAGCGUCUACGAAGCAAAUUGCCUUUGACCAGGAUUCGAGGGCAGCUCUUCAAGCUGGAAUUGACAAACUUGUUGAUGCUGUUGGACUUACCCUUGGACCUAGAGUACUUUUUAUUAUGUGGAAAAAAAGAACUUUAAGAUUGAUACUUGUUUGGCUAGGAAUACCAUUAUUUGCUAAAAGGCUUGUGAUUAAACAUGGCUCAUUGGUAACUCGGUUGGUUACCAAGUUUCAAUAGUUAGUUGGAAAUUUAAUAAGAUAUUCUUGUUUUUAUUUCUUGGCAUGCUUCUAUGCACUACCCCUUCCUGUGAAUUUUAGAUUGGGGAAAUGCUGAGUCUAGUUGAUUUUGUCUUUGUUUAUUGUGUGAACUCGAGGGAGAAUAGGUAGAUUUGUUGUGAUUAUUCUGGUUUAGUUGUUUUUAUGGUAUUGUUCGAUUUCUUGCUCUUUGAAGCAUGUUAAGUGUGUGUAACACCUGAGUGCUUGACAAUAUAUGAUUGACUAUGUGCUCUAUACAGGGUUCGUUUUUGCCCAAUUACUAUUUUAAUUCUUCGUAAUGGCAUGAUGAUUUUAUUCUUUUUUCAGGGAGAAAUGUUGUUUUGGAUGAGUUUGGGACCCCAAGAGUAGUUAAUGAUGGAGUUACUAUUGCUCGAGCUAUUGAGCUGGAUGAUCCAAUGGAGAAUGCUGGUGCUGCUUUGAUUAGAGAGGUGCGGAGUUCCAGGCCAAUGAUUUGGGAUUAAAGGUUGAGAACACAUCUAUCGAACAACUUAAGGCUAGAUGAACUUCAGGCUAGAAUUGCGCAGCUUAAGAAAGAAUUGUUUGCAAUCGACUCUGUUUAUGAUUCUGAGAAGCUUGCUGAAAGAGUUGCCAAACUUUCUGGAGGAAUUGCAGCUAUAAAGGUUGGUGCAGUGGCUGCAGCCACAGAAACUGAGCUUGAAGACCGUAAACUGCGAAUUGAGGAUACAAAGAAUGCAACUUUUGCUGCCAUAGAGGAAGGAAUUGUUCCUGGUGGUGGUGCUGCUCUUGUUCAUUUCUAACCUUGUGUACCUUCUAUUAAGGAGAAGCUUGAAGACCCUGAUGAACGUCUGGGUGCUGACAUUGUGCAGAAGGUUCUACAGUGUUGAGCGUGGAGACUCCGUUCUACAGUGUUGAUAACUAGGGAACUAGUAAUGUAAAUCAUGACAAUAAUCUUCUUGUUAUACACCCAAACCUACUACUUUCCGGGACUCGGGUUUUCAAAACUCAAAGGGAGGGGCCCUUUACUAAAGAGGAGUUGGAUGAAGUUCGAGACAAAUGGGCUAUUUAAUUCAACGAUUGUGAACUACCCUCAGUGUAAUAAAUAGAGCAGGCUUGUAUUUAUUCGUGAAUCUUACAUUAUUUUGUUAUUUAUUGAUUUAAUUAAUUACAUUUGAAUUAAUUCGGUAUUAUUAUUGGAAAUUUGAAAUUUAUAUCAUUUUUUAGGAAUGUCAAGCUGAUGUUUGAUG